UCUCCAGGUCCAUCCAUGUUGCUGCAAAUGUAAUUAUUUUAUAAUUUUUUAUGGCUGGGUAGUAUUCCAUUGUAUAAAUAUGCCACAACUUCUUUAUCCAGUCAUCUGUUGAUGGACAUUUAGGUUGCUUCCAUGUCUUGGCUAUUGUAAAUAGUGCUGCUAU
This is a non-coding RNA of Vicugna pacos (alpaca), 163 nucleotides long. The record is from RefSeq and is a predicted model, not a curated record. NCBI's taxonomy places the organism in Eukaryota, Metazoa, Chordata, Mammalia, Artiodactyla, Camelidae.